RNAcentral lists this transfer RNA (66 nucleotides) under Cheumatopsyche brevilineata. Its description in RNAcentral is "tRNA-Ala". It matches the Rfam family "tRNA". From Rfam's summary of the family: Transfer RNA (tRNA) molecules are approximately 80 nucleotides in length. Their secondary structure includes four short double-helical elements and three loops (D, anti-codon, and T loops). Lineage: Eukaryota; Metazoa; Arthropoda; Insecta; Trichoptera; Hydropsychidae. The record is from RNAcentral.
AGGAUUAUAGUUUAAUAAAAACAAUUAAUUUGCAUUUAAAAAUCAUUGAUUUUUCAAUUAAUCUUA